This 1445-nucleotide long non-coding RNA is filed under the name Monodelphis domestica (gray short-tailed opossum). Its description in RNAcentral is "lncRNA (ENSMODG00000032938.2)". The record is from RNAcentral. Lineage: Eukaryota; Metazoa; Chordata; Mammalia; Didelphimorphia; Didelphidae.
ACAUAGGAUCAAAGAAAAUAGGUUUAGAGCCCGAGGCAACUGUAGAAGCCUGAAUUAAACAAGUUAUGGAGCAUUCAUGAUGUACUGCGCUAAGUUGUAGGUGUAUGAGAAAAAAGAAAAGUUGUCCUUACUGUCAAGGAGCUCACUUUCUAACGGAGUGCCCAGCAGGCACGUCAAAGAGUACAUCCCAGAUAAAUACAGCAGAGUUGGGAGGUAGCCUCAGAAAGGGAGGCAAAGCCAGUGCUCCUUCCCUCAGACUCUGGCCAUAUAUGUAGUAGGUGUCUGAGGAGGGAUGUGAACUGAGCACUUCCGCCCUCCCAAUCCAUCCCUCAAUUUACUACACUUCAUUGCCUCACAUAGAUGAUGUAUAACAGGCUGAGCCUGAGAGUCACAAUCACUAGCCAGCAGUCACUACCUCAACAGGUACAUUGAAUCUGUCCAAUGAAGUGGCAAGCUGUUUCUGGUUCAGUAUCCCAGGGACAGUUUGAGUGGGCUCUGGUGGUAAAAUGUCAGAAAAGGCAGUUUCCCAUUUCUCAGAUCGCUGCUCCCUUUUACAGUUUUUGUCCAGUGGCUUACCAGUAUGGCCAAGCCAAACUUACAAAGGAAGUUGAUUACAUUCUUUGACUAUAACAACCAUUCCCCAAAGGAAGGAGAAUUUGCAGUUUGGAGGCAAGUGAUUUGGAGCAAGGAUAAUGGUUUUCAAGGAGUCUCCUCACAGGACUGAUGGGAAAAUGGGCUUAAUUCAUAGAUGGAAAUACAACACAGUUGCCUCUGCUAUGCAUCUCUCUGGUCUCAUCAAAGGAAGUUUCCCGCUGCUGGACUUCUUCUCUUCAUGGACAUCUCCAGGCUAUCUUGGCUCCUGACUGGCAUAUUUCUGAGACUAUUGAGAAGUAGAGCUGCUAACGGAGAAGAGCAAGGUGUGGGAGGUGGAAGAGACCCUAUCAUUCAAGCAGAGAAAGCCAAAAUCUUCCUGCCUUGGUCAUAGAUUAUAGACCUAAGUACAAGACUUCCAGCACAACCAGUUUUCUCCAUGGCUUAUGUUUCCUUUUCUACUCAUUGAACAACAUAAACAGUAACAUAUAGAGAGAUAGAUCUAUAGCUUUAUCUAUUCAUCUCAUCUAGUCUUUAAGCGAAACAAUAGAAGAAAGUCUCGAAUGUUUCUAUUCUGGAGACACUUGCCCAAAUGUAAAGAAAACUCCAUUGAAACUGAAGUGCUUUAUAAGAAUGAAGUGGGCCAGAGACAGGAAGCAACAAUCAAACCGGUCCUUGGAGCCCUCCAUAGGCACUUUUGUUCCCAGGGAAGACGAAGCCCCUUUUGCCUUUGACUAAGGCAGCAGGGAGGUGGAGGGGAGUGCCCUCGACUCAGUGCCUUAGAAAAGAAGGAAGUGGCAAGGCUCAAGGGCACAUUGGGUUUGUGUCUUUUCAGUGUUCUAAAGAAAUCCCAC